This 72-nucleotide transfer RNA is filed under the name uncultured Acidimicrobium sp. RNAcentral's name for it is "tRNA-Gly". It matches the Rfam family "tRNA". From Rfam's summary of the family: Transfer RNA (tRNA) molecules are approximately 80 nucleotides in length. Their secondary structure includes four short double-helical elements and three loops (D, anti-codon, and T loops). Further hydrogen bonds mediate the characteristic L-shaped molecular structure. tRNAs have two regions of fundamental functional importance: the anti-codon, which is responsible for specific mRNA codon recognition, and the 3' end, to which the tRNAs corresponding amino acid is attached (by aminoacyl-tRNA synthetases). tRNAs cope with the degeneracy of the genetic code in two manners: having more than one tRNA (with a specific anti-codon) for a particular amino acid; and 'wobble' base-pairing, i.e. permitting non-standard base-pairing at the 3rd anti-codon position. Lineage: Bacteria; Bacillati; Actinomycetota; Acidimicrobiia; Acidimicrobiales; Acidimicrobiaceae. The record is from RNAcentral.
GCGGGUGUAGUUCAGAGGUAGAACAUCAGCUUCCCAAGCUGAGAACGCGGGUUCGAUUCCCGUCACCCGCUC